GAGUUUGAUCAUGGCUCAGAUUGAACGCUGGCGGCAUGCCUUACACAUGCAAGUCGAACGGCAGCACGGGAGCUUGCUCCUGGUGGCGGGUGGCGAACGGGUGAGUAAUGCAUCGGAACGUAUCCUGGAGUGGGGGAUAACGUAGCGAAAGUUACGCUAAUACCGCAUAUUCUGUGAGCAGGAAAGCGGGGGACCUUCGGGCCUCGCGCUCUUGGAGCGGCCGAUGUCGGAUUAGCUAGUUGGUGAGGUAAAGGCUCACCAAGGCGACGAUCCGUAGCAGGUCUGAGAGGAUGAUCUGCCACACUGGAACUGAGACACGGUCCAGACUCCUACGGGAGGCAGCAGUGGGAAUUUUGGACAAUGGGGCAACCCUGAUCCAGCCAUGCCGCGUGAGUGAAGAAGGCCUCGG
RNAcentral lists this ribosomal RNA (409 nucleotides) under bacterium enrichment culture clone ALO1_GLFRUDD03GGG60. Its description in RNAcentral is "bacterial SSU rRNA". It matches the Rfam family "Bacterial small subunit ribosomal RNA", at positions 9 to 420 of the family's 1533-position model. The record is from RNAcentral.